CUGGGAUUCUCCAGGCAAGAACACUGGAGUGGGUUGCCGUUUCCUUCUCCAAAUCUAAAGCCCAAAUCUUGUCACUGAAAUAUACCACUGUGGCUGUUAAAACUUGUUUUUUCCAAGCCUGUCAAUUAAAAAAAAAUAACCAAAAAAAAACUCUGAGUUGAAAUGAAUGUCUUGUCCCCAGUAAAUUAGCUACUUACUAUUCCCUGACCUAUUUUUCCUACCACAGUCUCAUUUGAUUAUUCCAAGCAGGCAAGUCUAUUUUCCUCCUUUGGCAAGCAGACGAGGAAGGUGUGGUGGAAGUUAUAUAUUAAGAAAAAAAUACGUGGAGCAAAACGCCCCGUCCUAUCUCCCGAAGUCACCUGAUGCUUAACGAGAGAACCAGGACCUUGAAGACGAGGUCAGGCAGAAGAGGGCACCAGUCUCCCAGGGAGAAGCCAGGACUCGUCAGUAACGGGGUUGUGACCAAUCUGAACCAACUGCCAGGUCGCAAGAUUUGGAAGGCUAAAGUGGAAGACAUCAUUCAUCCAGAUUUAAUUAACUCACAAAGAACUUAUAGAACAUUGAAGACAAGGGGAUAGAUUCAAGAUACAUGGACAGGUAUAUGAUCGCAUGAGGAGUAACACGAAGAACAGGAAAAUAUUACGCAUGUCUCGUUCUCAAUAUACAUGUGUACACAGUAUUAUUGUCUCUGAUCUGCACAGAGAUUUCUUUAGAAAUAUGUAUUAUUUCUAGUAUCCAUUUGCCUGCUGCUGCUGCUGCUGCUAAGUCGCUUCAGUCGUGUCCGACUCUGUGCGACCCCAUAGAUGGCAGCCCACUAGGCUCCUCUGUCCCUGGGAUUCUCUAGGCAAGAACACUGGAGUGGGUUACCAUUUCCUUCUCCAAAGCGUGAAAAUGAAAAAUGAAAGUGAAGUCGCUCAGUUAUGACCGACUCUUAGCAACCCCAUGGACUGCAGCCUACCAGGCUCCUCCGUCCAUGGAAUUUUCCAGGCAAGAGUACUGGAGUGGGGUGCCAUUGCCUUCUCCGAU
Molecule: long non-coding RNA, 1026 nt
Filed under: Bos indicus x Bos taurus (hybrid cattle)
Lineage: Eukaryota; Metazoa; Chordata; Mammalia; Artiodactyla; Bovidae
Description: lncRNA (ENSBIXG00005007664.1)
Source: RNAcentral